GCUAGGAGGAGAUGGGGCAGGAGGAGACUCUUUCCGCAAUGUAACAAGAUUUGGAGCGGGUGGGAGAAGCUCGCCAUCCGUGACGCCGUGGCGCAAAAAGAAACCGAAGAAGUAAAGGAGGGCGGACAACGAGGGUCCA
This is a non-coding RNA of Caenorhabditis elegans, 139 nucleotides long. NCBI's taxonomy places the organism in Eukaryota, Metazoa, Nematoda, Chromadorea, Rhabditida, Rhabditidae. The record is from Ensembl.